This 253-nucleotide ribosomal RNA is filed under the name uncultured bacterium. Its description in RNAcentral is "partial 16S ribosomal RNA". It matches the Rfam family "Bacterial small subunit ribosomal RNA", at positions 524 to 776 of the family's 1533-position model. The record is from RNAcentral.
UACAGAGGUCCCAAGCGUUGUUCGGAUUUAUUGGGCGUAAAGGGUGCGUAGGCGGCCCUGUAAGUCAGUGGUGAAAUACUCCAGCUUAACUGGAGGGGUGCCAUUGAUACUGCAGGGCUUGAGUGGAGUCGAAGUAGGCGGAAUUGACGGUGUAGCGGUGAAAUGCUUAGAUAUCGUCAAGAACACCGAUAGUGAAGACAGCUUACUAGGCUUCUACUGACGCUGAGGCACGAAAGUGUGGGGAUCAAACAGG